ACGACACACCGCAGUGCAUUUAAACAGUGUAUGGACGUAGAUGGUUUAUUCUAGUCGAGUUUCCCAACAGGAAAAGUGAGCGUGAGUCAACAAACUAGCGGUCACACGCCGGUUUUUUUUUCUCUCUCCCUCUCUAACCGAAAACACAAGACCUUCUGUGUGUGUGUGUGUGUGAUUAUUGUUUAACAUUUCCUCAAUGUCCAUUUGGCGGGGGUGAUUGGAGUGCCUUGUGCCAGUCACAUAUCAGAGAAGAAAAAAAAGAAAACGUACACUGACGGACAGGUUUUUUUUGGCGACAAGGCGAGUGACAAGGAGCUCUUUGAAAGCCAUCAACCGCGCCCCGUGAGCAGUUAAAAACAAAAACGAACGGUGGCCAGUAGUGGCUAAUACAGGUCAAUAAGCCAGCACGUCAUCUUCAACAAUCACAAACCGUCUCGAAUUUCGAAAAGGUCAGAAAACAAAGACAACA
This is a long non-coding RNA of Daphnia carinata, 469 nucleotides long. RefSeq lists it as uncharacterized. The transcript has 3 exons. The record is from RefSeq and is a predicted model, not a curated record. Lineage: Eukaryota; Metazoa; Arthropoda; Branchiopoda; Diplostraca; Daphniidae.